CCUACGGGGGGCUGCAGUGGGGAAUUUUGGACAAUGGGCGCAAGCCUGAUCCAGCAAUGCCGCGUGCAGGAAGAAGGCCUUCGGGUUGUAAACUGCUUUUGUCAGGGAAGAAAUCUUCUGGGUUAAUACCUCGGGAGGAUGACGGUACCUGAAGAAUAAGCACCGGCUAACUACGUGCCAGCAGCCGCGGUAAUACGUAGGGUGCGAGCGUUAAUCGGAAUUACUGGGCGUAAAUCGUGCGCACACGGCUGAAAUCCCCGGGCUCAACCUGGGAACUGCCUUUGUGACUGCAAGGCUAGAGUACGGCAGAGGGGGAUGGAAUUCCGCGUGUAGCAGUGAAAUGCGUAGAUAUGCGGAGGAACACCAAUGGCGAAGGCAAUCCCCUGGGCCUGUACUGACGCUCAUGCACGAAAGCGUGGGGAGCAAACAGGAUUAGAUACCCCUGUAGUC
Molecule: ribosomal RNA, 450 nt
Filed under: uncultured bacterium
Lineage: Bacteria
Description: partial 16S ribosomal RNA
Rfam family: Bacterial small subunit ribosomal RNA
Source: RNAcentral